RNAcentral lists this ribosomal RNA (804 nucleotides) under Triticum aestivum (bread wheat). RNAcentral describes it as "partial small subunit ribosomal RNA". The record is from RNAcentral. Lineage: Eukaryota; Viridiplantae; Streptophyta; Magnoliopsida; Poales; Poaceae.
AUGAGGAGAGAAGCCUGGCUCGAGGGGAGAGGCCACUCGUCAGAUACGGCCAGAGAAACUAAGUCCUGGGAGAGACUAUGGAAAGUGGAUGUCCCAUCCAAAGUUAAAAUCUUCCUAUGGCGGCUAGCACAACAGUCUAUUCCCACAGCAGAUGUUCUACACCACCGGGACACGUCAACCACUACGAGGUGUGGUCUGUGCGGCUCUGAAGACUCAUGGCAACACUCUUUGCUCCACUGCACAGUAGCUCGAUGUGUUUGGGCGUUGCAAGAUCAUGACCUGGUUGAAGCUUUAAACAGCACCCGUGAACCGGAUGCACGACGUUGGCUAUUCUCCCUUUUGGAUACACUUUCUUCUGCUGAAUUCACCCAGGUAGCAGUUACCAUGUGGGCUCUCUGGUAUGCUCGUCGGCAGGCACUCCAUGAAAAUAUCUUCCAAAGUCCCCUGACCACGCAUAAUUUUAUCAUGAGAUACAUCAGAGAGUUGGAGGAUUGUAAACCCAAGAAGAUUGUACCGCAUUCAGCCCCAAGUGCUGAAGAGACAAGGCAAAAGUGGAUCCCUCCACCGCCGGGGCUCUCGAAGAUCAGAGUGGAUGGUGCGGUCUCGAGAGAUAACCUGCAUGGCUCGUUCAACGCCAUUUGCAGAGACUCCUCUGGUCAGUUCUUGGGCGCAUCAGCAAUUAAAAUACAUGGGAUCACGGAGCCUACAACUCUCGAAGCGCUAGCUUGCCAGGAGGCGCUAGCAUUAGCUUCAGACUUGGCUUUGACCGAUUUCAUUGUUGCUACUACUGUCAGGGUGUUGUAA